This is a long non-coding RNA of Drosophila mojavensis, 721 nucleotides long. RefSeq lists it as uncharacterized. The transcript is spliced from 2 exons. The record is from RefSeq and is a predicted model, not a curated record. NCBI's taxonomy places the organism in Eukaryota, Metazoa, Arthropoda, Insecta, Diptera, Drosophilidae.
AAACAAAACUAGAAUUAGUUGUUCAAUUAAAAAGUGUCAGAUCCGUCUAGAGCUUCAAUUAGAGCGACGAUUCUUGAAUGAAUGCAAAGACCUUUGGCUAGGUCGCAGACACUGAAACUCCGCCAGACUUUAAUGAAUGGAAGCGAAGCGAAUAAGGGAGAUGUGAACUACUGGUAUGUCACUCAGAGUCAGAGAGAUGGCAGGGGCUGGAUCUGGAGCUGGAGCUAGAGCUGGGCUGAGUGAAAGAGGCAACUGGGUCAUUUGCUGGCGCUACGAAAUGCCACCGAGUGUGUAUCCAAAUCAAGCGGCGAGAGAUGUCACAGCCAGAGCUGGCGACACGGAGACACCAAACAGUUGGCGACAGUUGCCGUCGCUGCCGAAAUGUUGUCGCGACAAAAUGUUGCUGUCGCUAGCUGUCGCUCUCGUCUCUGUUGCUGUCUCUGUCGCUGUCGCUGUUGCUGUCUCUGUCUCUGUCUCUUGUUGCCAGCGGAUGAGUGACGAGCGGAUGGCUGCCUUUCCGAAUGUGGGUCGUUGUAAUUAAGCCAUUGGCCCAGAACAUGCAAAUAGCUGCAACUAAUUCCGUUUGAAUGCAUUUCUAGAGAUGGAAAACAUUUCGAUAACGAUAAAUUAGAGAAGAUGAAAUGAUAAUAUUAGAAAAAAUCUGUAUAAGCUGUAUAGAUCGUAAAUGAUACUAUUUUAAAUACAAUAUUCAUAUGCUCGA